CCACCGCUGAGCGCCGGGGGAUCUGUGUCCCUUCUGAAAAUGAGCUCGGUGUCUUCAGAAGUGUUUAAAGACCCACAAGUAUAUAAAUUAUGCUUUAUAUUCCCAAACGGAGACAAAUAUGAGGGUGACUGUACAAGGAUAUCUCCUGGAGUCUUUGAGAGAAAUGGAGCAGGGGUUCACACCACCCCCAAUGGAAUAAUUUAUACCGGAGCCUGGAAAG
Molecule: long non-coding RNA, 220 nt
Organism: Gracilinanus agilis (Agile Gracile Mouse Opossum)
Lineage: Eukaryota; Metazoa; Chordata; Mammalia; Didelphimorphia; Didelphidae
Exons: 3
Source: RefSeq, a predicted model, not a curated record